UCCAUCUAACUGCAGUGUUGUGGCUUUAACGUAUUCCAGGUGUGGAUCUGAUUUGCAAUGGCUUAUCAGGAUUCAGGCCGGGGAUGAUAAGACUGUGGGUGCGAGUUUCUUUUUCUGAUGGCACAUCAAAAAAGCCUGAACUGUCUUGCAGAGAAUAGUCCAUUAUCCCAGGGAAGCUGGGUAUUUUUGGCAUGCGUGGGCGCGGAUAAACAGAAUCCUACAGCAAUAAGGUUCUCACUCUGUUUGCUAUUCUUCAGUUAGUCAGGUUUAAUCCUUUGUAUUCCCUGAACCAAAAAAGAAAAAAAAAAGGUGAUCUGUUACGCCGAGUUUACUCAAAACUAGAAGAAAAACUUUCUAGUGUGUUUGGACGAGGGAGUUACUGUAGGGACUUUCAGAUUUUGCCUUCGUUUUAUCUAAUCUAGGAAUUUGGAAUGACAUCCUUGUAUCCAAA
Molecule: long non-coding RNA, 451 nt
Organism: Sorghum bicolor (sorghum)
Lineage: Eukaryota; Viridiplantae; Streptophyta; Magnoliopsida; Poales; Poaceae
Exons: 3
Source: RefSeq, a predicted model, not a curated record